Megalobrama amblycephala (Wuchang bream) is the source of this 4345-nucleotide long non-coding RNA. RefSeq lists it as uncharacterized. Lineage: Eukaryota; Metazoa; Chordata; Actinopteri; Cypriniformes; Xenocyprididae. The record is from RefSeq and is a predicted model, not a curated record. The transcript has 2 exons.
AGAGUACAUAAACAGAAGCUGACAAGGCGAUUCACAUGUUAGUCAUCACAGCCGACAGCUUUUUCUUCUCUUCCUCCUCAAAAACACAACUUCCUGUUUUGUGUUCUAGACAGCAUCUAAAAGUUCCUGUGGGACAAAUGGUCAUCAUGGCCAAGUACACUGAAUUCAGAAAAAGCAUGUCUUGUGUCUCAAAUUAUAUAAGCUGGCCAACUGUACACUGUGUACUUACACUAUGUACUCUGCCAUAAAGCAUAGAACUUUGUAAAGAUAAUGUCAUCUCAAGUCUUAUAGUCUACUCGUACAACAAAACACUAGUGUAGAAUAGUGCAGAAGUAUUUGAAAUGGGACAAACCUACAGUAGCUUCCCCAACACUGACACAUACACCAGGGCUGUACAGUGCGACAUAUAUAUACAGAAAAAAGUCUGUGCAAUGAAUACAUUUACCACAGCAGCAAACGUGCAAUAGAGUUUUGCUUUUGUGUGAGACAGAGCCGCUUGUUUGUGUUAAGUGACAGGUUGUUGAGUGCUUGUUUGUGUGUGAGGUUAAUCUAUGGCCACACGAUUAACCAAAAUUAAAACAAAAAUGUGAUUUGGCUAAGAAAUCGCAAAGGCUGCAAUUCUUAAAUAUGCACAGCAUGUUUCAUGGUGGAGCACACCACUGAGAUCAGAGCGAAUAGAUCGGUUCGCAAAAAAUGCUGCUUCGUUUGAGUCAUUUAUAAUGUGCAUUUGAAAAAGCAAAACACACUCUAUACUUUUUUUUCAAACCUGUAAUGAGAAGCAUUUACAAAACACUUCAUAAUGUUGCACAAUGCUUCACUUCAUAAUGCACUUCAUUGAAAUAACUUCUUUUUGUGAUCUGACGUGGCUUCAUGCCACAGAAUGAGGCAGAAAUUAUAUUUUUAGUAGGCCUAUUCUAUACAGUGAUAAAGGCUAUGUCAAUUAGCAUUGCAUAAUGAAAUAUACUUUAUUCUUAUGAAAAUACCUAAGACACAGAUAAACCAUAUAUUGUCCUGAUUGUAUGUUUAUUGUCUUUAUGUUUCAUUAGUCAAAAUGUCUCUAUCCAUUUUUUAUUCCAAUGCAGCGAUCUCUGGAUAGCUUUGUCCAUAUAAGGGGUUUCCUUUAAUGUCAUACUUUUUAUAGUUAUUAUUAUUAUAUUAUUUUUAUUCUUAAAUACUGUUUUGUAUUUUAUAGUAUUUUAUUGUAUUGUUUUACUUGUUUUUUUUUUUUUUAUUUACUUUGUUUUUUUUAUUGUAUUGUUUACUUUUACUAUUUUCAGAGAUGGUAACAGACAUUUUAUACUUGUGCUACCAUUGUAUGUCCUGUGCUACAAAACUUUCAACCACUGUCGCACCAAUGCUAUGUGAAAAAAAAAUGUUAACGUACAGCCCUGUAUGCACAAAAAAGAUUUGGGUCUCAUUCAUGAAAUAAUUUGGUUUGAACUGUCCAUGAAUCCAUUGUUACAUAAAUUGUUGCAUUAAGUCUGAUGUUUUACUUAAGAAUGAUUUUACGAUUUGUUUGUGUUUUAUGAAUGAAGCCAUCCUGAGAAACACAGGCUGUCCAAUAAGCACACAUAUACAUGCACAUGAACACUGAUGUUUAAUUUACUACUGUUCUGUCGUCAUAGCAACCUUGAACAUUUUCCUCUCGUUUAUUUGUACACUAUUUCUCCAAAUCCCCCUUCCCCUGCUUAAACAAUCCUUCUAUUAGGAACUACUUCUAAGUAUCAUCUGACAACAAUUAUGCCGAAGCAUCUUCACAAACAUAUUAUGCUCUCAGAAGUCUCCCACUCAGGGAGCAGUGAGUGAAAUAAACAAAAGAUGAGGGAAAAGAGAGAGGGAAAGUCAGCCAGGAAGGCCAGCAUGUUUGGGGUGGUGGGGAGGGUGAGGAAAGAAAAACAAACCGAGAAGGAAAAUGGCAGGAAAGAAAGUAAAAUGAAAAAGAAUGCAAGAGAAACAUAAUUAAAGACAAAACGGGGGAAAAAAUGAUUUUUUUGGACAAAACUGGGGGAAGGUGAACAUGUCACAUGAGGAUAACGACAAACUAAUGCACAUAUUGAAGUCAGGCAGUAUAAAUGCUUGAAAUUUAAUCACCUUGUUCAGUUUAAGAAAAAAACACUAGUAUUCUCUUUCGGUUAGUUAGUUAUAUCUAGGUUAGAAUCUUUUCACUUUUAUACAGAUCACAUUUUCAUCUGCUCUUUCCAUGCAAUGAUUAGGACCAGACAUCAAACUCCAUUCAAAUACUGACACCAUUGACAAGUUAUUAACAUAUGCAUCAUUUAUAUUUCUUAGUGAAAAAGAGAGAAUGUGAGAAAGUAAAGGUGUUUUUUUUUUCAUUCUUUCGAUUUCUUUUUUUUAUGUUUUUUAUGUUUUUGUUUUGUUUUUUAUGGUACUUUUUGUUUGGUUCUUUCUGUUAGUUCUUGUUCACUUAAGAAACAAUUUAAUAUUAAAAAAUAUUAACAAAACACUUUUUGUGUUACUCUUUUUGGUUUGGAACGACCUCACAGAGAGUAAAGGUUUUGUGUAGGACUGCUUCACGAUUUGCUCUAAAAUAUUUUGAUCUAAAAAUCCAUCAGUUACGCUCUGCCAGCUGUUUUAAACACAUCCUGUUUCGACACCCCCUAAGAAAUGUGUCUGAUACUUCAGGACGUCCUCAAGACUGACUAAUUGUUCAGACAAACCAAUUAGUCAAUUUUGGAAAAUAUGUUAUUUUGUACAUCCUUAGUUCAAGUUUCUGAAAAUUGUUGUGUGAAUGUCUCAUAUGUUGGGAGGAGGUUAAUGAAGUAUUAAUGCAUCUAAAAAAAGUUCUUGAACUGUUUUAUCAAAAAUCUGAAAUCAUGUGUGCAUGUGUGUGUCAUUGUUCUGCUCAACUUCCUCUCUUUCUCAGCAGAUCCUAACGGAAGAGUUGGUUGGGAGCGAGAGAUACAUAAAGAGAGAGAGAGAGAGAGAGAGAGAAAAAGACAGACACUGCUGAAGAACAGAAUGAUAAAAUCCAGAUGCAGGCAAUGAGAGAGAGAACAAAAGAGGUGGUGAAUGGGGGAAGAGAGAUAGAAAAAAAAAAGAUUCAAUAAGAAUUCCUCUUUCUAAGAGGAACUUCACCCUCAGGAUCUGAUCCAACAGCUUCUUUCGUCUUAAAUCAUCCAGACUGCUCCACCCUGUCCCACACACACCAAACACUGGCAGCAGCUGAAGUCACAUCAGCAUUCGGAACCUCUGCCUCAGUUUGUAUUUGUAAACAUGCCAACAGAUGGACAGUAACAAGCGUCUGUGAGAGUUUGGAACUGAUGCAGGACGUCCAGAACACUGCAAUAACCCCAUUACAGCUGUCACUCUAUUAACACUAUUAUCAUGUAUUAUCUGUCUGUAAUGAGCUCUCUGAGCCAUUCACAGUCAUACUGUGUGAAAGUCGUGGAAACUAAUUACAGUUAUUAAAAGAUACCAUUCUGUUUGUUUCAGUUUAUUCCUUUCUUUUUUAACAAUGCAAUUCUGUUCAUAUAAUGCAAUGCAAUUAUGAUUGAAAGACAUACAAAUAAACAUUCCUCAAAAACCUGAUGGGUCAUAUUUGAUACAUUUUAACAACUUUUCUAAAAGAAAAAAAAUGGAUAAUUACAUAAAUCAGCUAUGCAAUUCUAUUAUGUUUGUUUCACUCCAGACUUCUUCCAUUUAUUGAACUUUUCUCCUAAUAAUGUUUCUCAACUAUUCUGUAAUUCAAUUACUCAAUUCUAUUGGUUUAACUUCCCUUAAUUCUAUUAUAUUUGUUUUAUUUCACUAAUAUUUUUGUCUAUUCAUAUGAAACUGAGAAAGUCAUGGAAAAUAAUGUUGUUUUGUGCUAUAAAAGAUUUCAUUCUGUGUGUUUCAGUUUACUCCUGUUUUAUUUCACUAUGCAAUUCGGUUAUAUUCAUUAAUUUUAUUAUCCAACUGUUCUACUCUUUUGGUUCCACAUUCUCUUAUUCAUCUAUGCAAUUAUACUAUAUUUACUUCAAGUCAGACUUAUUCUGUUAUUCAGAUACUCUAUUUUUUAAGCUUUACUCUUCUAAUUCAUUUUUAAAUUAUUCAGUUAUAUUGGUUUAACUAAACCAGUAUUCACUACUCUAACUGUUUUGUUUUAAUUACUCUAUUAUAUUAGUUUUACUUCACUCCUAUUCCAUUCUAUUCUUUUUUUUUUUUUUUUUACAUAUGAGACACAUUCAUAAAGAAAGACCAGAAACCCUGAAGUCUUUUUAUAACAGUCAUGAGUUUGUUAAGCAUCGGUGUGUCCUGCAGUUUUUCCUGGUGAGUUCAGAUGAGAUGAGGGGGAAUUCCCACCUUCAGUUUUUUUUUUUCCUAUUUACUGUUGUUGUAUUCCCAU